RNAcentral lists this ribosomal RNA (599 nucleotides) under Bacillus pumilus. Its description in RNAcentral is "bacterial SSU rRNA". It matches the Rfam family "Bacterial small subunit ribosomal RNA", at positions 558 to 1158 of the family's 1533-position model. The record is from RNAcentral. Lineage: Bacteria; Bacillati; Bacillota; Bacilli; Caryophanales; Bacillaceae.
GCGUAAGGGCUCGCAGGCGGUUUCUUAAGUCUGAUGUGAAAGCCCCCGGCUCAACCGGGGAGGGUCAUUGGAAACUGGGAAACUUGAGUGCAGAAGAGGAGAGUGGAAUUCCACGUGUAGCGGUGAAAUGCGUAGAGAUGUGGAGGAACACCAGUGGCGAAGGCGACUCUCUGGUCUGUAACUGACGCUGAGGAGCGAAAGCGUGGGGAGCGAACAGGAUUAGAUACCCUGGUAGUCCACGCCGUAAACGAUGAGUGCUAAGUGUUAGGGGGUUUCCGCCCCUUAGUGCUGCAGCUAACGCAUUAAGCACUCCGCCUGGGGAGUACGGUCGCAAGACUGAAACUCAAAGGAAUUGACGGGGGCCCGCACAAGCGGUGGAGCAUGUGGUUUAAUUCGAAGCAACGCGAAGAACCUUACCAGGUCUUGACAUCCUCUGACAACCCUAGAGAUAGGGCUUUCCCUUCGGGGACAGAGUGACAGGUGGUGCAUGGUUGUCGUCAGCUCGUGUCGUGAGAUGUUGGGUUAAGUCCCGCAACGAGCGCAACCCUUGAUCUUAGUUGCCAGCAUUCAGUUGGGCACUCUAAGGUGACUGCCGGUGA